RNAcentral lists this ribosomal RNA (229 nucleotides) under uncultured bacterium. RNAcentral describes it as "partial 16S ribosomal RNA". It matches the Rfam family "Bacterial small subunit ribosomal RNA", at positions 568 to 796 of the family's 1533-position model. The record is from RNAcentral.
CGCGUAGGCGGCCAGUUAAGUCAGAUGUGAAAGCCCGGGGCUCAACCCCGGAAGUGCAUUUGAAACUAAUUGGCUUGAGUAUGGGAGAGGGAAGUGGAAUUCCUGGUGUAGCGGUGAAAUGCGUAGAUAUCAGGAGGAACACCGGUGGCGAAGGCGACUUCCUGGACCAAUACUGACGCUGAGGCGCGAAGGCGUGGGGAGCAAACAGGAUUAGAUACCCUGGUAGUCC